This 2902-nucleotide ribosomal RNA is filed under the name Enterobacter hormaechei. RNAcentral describes it as "23S ribosomal RNA". It matches the Rfam family "Bacterial large subunit ribosomal RNA". The record is from RNAcentral. Lineage: Bacteria; Pseudomonadati; Pseudomonadota; Gammaproteobacteria; Enterobacterales; Enterobacteriaceae.
UUAAGCGACUAAGCGUACACGGUGGAUGCCCUGGCAGUCAGAGGCGAUGAAGGACGUGCUAAUCUGCGAAAAGCGCCGGCGAGGUGAUAUGAACCUUUGACCCGGCGAUGUCCGAAUGGGGAAACCCAGUGCAAUCCGUUGCACUAUCGUUAACUGAAUACAUAGGUUAACGAGGCGAACCGGGGGAACUGAAACAUCUAAGUACCCCGAGGAAAAGAAAUCAACCGAGAUUCCCCCAGUAGCGGCGAGCGAACGGGGAGCAGCCCGGAGUCUGAAUCAGCUUGUGUGUUAGUGGAACGGUCUGGAAAGUCCGACGGUACAGGGUGAUAGUCCCGUACACGAAAGCACACUUGCUGUGAACUCGAAGAGUAGGGCGGGACACGUGGUAUCCUGUCUGAAUAUGGGGGGACCAUCCUCCAAGGCUAAAUACUCCUGACUGACCGAUAGUGAACCAGUACCGUGAGGGAAAGGCGAAAAGAACCCCGGCGAGGGGAGUGAAAAAGAACCUGAAACCGUGUACGUACAAGCAGUGGGAGCCUCUUUAUGGGGUGACUGCGUACCUUUUGUAUAAUGGGUCAGCGACUUAUAUUCUGUAGCAAGGUUAACCGUAUAGGGGAGCCGAAGGGAAACCGAGUCUUAACUGGGCGUUAAGUUGCAGGGUAUAGACCCGAAACCCGGUGAUCUAGCCAUGGGCAGGUUGAAGGUUGGGUAACACUAACUGGAGGACCGAACCGACUAAUGUUGAAAAAUUAGCGGAUGACCUGUGGCUGGGGGUGAAAGGCCAAUCAAACCGGGAGAUAGCUGGUUCUCCCCGAAAGCUAUUUAGGUAGCGCCUCGUGAACUCAUCUUCGGGGGUAGAGCACUGUUUCGGCUAGGGGGCCAUCCCGGCUUACCAACCCGAUGCAAACUACGAAUACCGAAGAAUGUUAUCACGGGAGACACACGGCGGGUGCUAACGUCCGUCGUGAAGAGGGAAACAACCCAGACCGCCAGCUAAGGUCCCAAAGUCAUGGUUAAGUGGGAAACGAUGUGGGAAGGCACAGACAGCCAGGAUGUUGGCUUAGAAGCAGCCAUCAUUUAAAGAAAGCGUAAUAGCUCACUGGUCGAGUCGGCCUGCGCGGAAGAUGUAACGGGGCUAAACCAUGCACCGAAGCUGCGGCAGCGACACUAUGUGUUGUUGGGUAGGGGAGCGUUCUGUAAGCCGUUGAAGGUGUGCUGUGAGGCAUGCUGGAGGUAUCAGAAGUGCGAAUGCUGACAUAAGUAACGAUAAAGCGGGUGAAAAGCCCGCUCGCCGGAAGACCAAGGGUUCCUGUCCAACGUUAAUCGGGGCAGGGUGAGUCGACCCCUAAGGCGAGGCCGAAAGGCGUAGUCGAUGGGAAACAGGUUAAUAUUCCUGUACUUGGUGUUACUGCGAAGGGGGGACGGAGAAGGCUAUGUCAGCCGGGCGACGGUUGUCCCGGUUUAAGCAUGUAGGCGGAGGUUCCAGGUAAAUCCGGUACCUUAUUAACGCUGAGGUGUGAUGACGAGGCACUACGGUGCUGAAGUGAUAAAUGCCCUGCUUCCAGGAAAAGCCUCUAAGCAUCAGGUAACACGAAAUCGUACCCCAAACCGACACAGGUGGUCAGGUAGAGAAUACCAAGGCGCUUGAGAGAACUCGGGUGAAGGAACUAGGCAAAAUGGUGCCGUAACUUCGGGAGAAGGCACGCUGAUGUGUAGGUGAAGUCCCUGCGGACGGAGCUGAAAUCAGUCGAAGAUACCAGCUGGCUGCAACUGUUUAUUAAAAACACAGCACUGUGCAAACACGAAAGUGGACGUAUACGGUGUGACGCCUGCCCGGUGCCGGAAGGUUAAUUGAUGGGGUUAGCGGCAACGCGAAGCUCUUGAUCGAAGCCCCGGUAAACGGCGGCCGUAACUAUAACGGUCCUAAGGUAGCGAAAUUCCUUGUCGGGUAAGUUCCGACCUGCACGAAUGGCGUAAUGAUGGCCAGGCUGUCUCCACCCGAGACUCAGUGAAAUUGAACUCGCUGUGAAGAUGCAGUGUACCCGCGGCAAGACGGAAAGACCCCGUGAACCUUUACUAUAGCUUGACACUGAACACUGGUCCUUGAUGUGUAGGAUAGGUGGGAGGCUUUGAAGCGUGGACGCCAGUCUGCGUGGAGCCAACCUUGAAAUACCACCCUUUAAUGGCUGGUGUUCUAACGUAGACCCGUAAUCCGGGUUGCGGACAGUGUCUGGUGGGUAGUUUGACUGGGGCGGUCUCCUCCCAAAGAGUAACGGAGGAGCACGAAGGUUGGCUAAUCCUGGUCGGACAUCAGGAGGUUAGUGCAAUGGCAUAAGCCAGCUUGACUGCGAGCGUGACGGCGCGAGCAGGUGCGAAAGCAGGUCAUAGUGAUCCGGUGGUUCUGAAUGGAAGGGCCAUCGCUCAACGGAUAAAAGGUACUCCGGGGAUAACAGGCUGAUACCGCCCAAGAGUUCAUAUCGACGGCGGUGUUUGGCACCUCGAUGUCGGCUCAUCACAUCCUGGGGCUGAAGUAGGUCCCAAGGGUAUGGCUGUUCGCCAUUUAAAGUGGUACGCGAGCUGGGUUUAGAACGUCGUGAGACAGUUCGGUCCCUAUCUGCCGUGGGCGCUGGAGAAUUGAGGGGGGCUGCUCCUAGUACGAGAGGACCGGAGUGGACGCAUCACUGGUGUUCGGGUUGUCAUGCCAAUGGCACUGCCCGGUAGCUAAAUGCGGAAGAGAUAAGUGCUGAAAGCAUCUAAGCACGAAACUUGCCCCGAGAUGAGUUCUCCCUGAGACUUUAAGUCUCCUGAAGGAACGUUGAAGACGACGACGUUGAUAGGUCGGGUGUGUAAGCGCAGCGAUGCGUUGAGCUAACCGAUACUAAUGAACCGUGAGGCUUAACCU